Molecule: small RNA, 53 nt
Filed under: Saccharolobus solfataricus
Lineage: Archaea; Thermoproteati; Thermoproteota; Thermoprotei; Sulfolobales; Sulfolobaceae
Description: ncRNA Sso-27
Source: RNAcentral
CCCCGCAGUCUAAAGAGCGAAGUAAUUGACCUAUGGAAUAUUGUAGCCCCUAA